UAGCCUAGUGGUUAAGGCUAUGGAUUGCCAAUUCGGAGACGGCGGGUUCGAUUCCCGU
Molecule: non-coding RNA, 58 nt
Organism: Aedes albopictus (Asian tiger mosquito)
Lineage: Eukaryota; Metazoa; Arthropoda; Insecta; Diptera; Culicidae
Source: Rfam